Molecule: long non-coding RNA, 377 nt
Filed under: Sorghum bicolor (sorghum)
Lineage: Eukaryota; Viridiplantae; Streptophyta; Magnoliopsida; Poales; Poaceae
Description: long non-coding RNA (SBIC_LNC003586)
Source: RNAcentral
GUCCCACGAGAGUACUUGGCUGAAAGAACAGGCAGUGACAGCCCUGCAGCAAGCUCAAGGAUGCGAGGAAUGGAGAGCAGCAGCUUUGUCGUUCCACAGGUCUUGAGGACAACCUUGUGGGGAUACACAAAGAGGCUCGACUCGGACAGAACAUAUGAGUCAAAGUUCUUGUUGGAGAGCUGUGACACUAUGGUGCACCGUGCAAGAUCCAGGAACGAGUCGAUCUGCUCACGAGAGAGGGCGCGCAGGCCAAGACCACAAGGGUCCUCGAAGACAGGUGCAUCAGAGAACGUUAUCUCGAGGCGCUUCUCGUAGCCCUCAAACCCAAUAGGGGAGGUGGGAGAAGAGCCCCAAGAAUCUGCUGAAGACAUCGCCAU